Molecule: ribosomal RNA, 430 nt
Filed under: Renealmia pluriplicata
Lineage: Eukaryota; Viridiplantae; Streptophyta; Magnoliopsida; Zingiberales; Zingiberaceae
Description: eukaryotic LSU rRNA
Rfam family: Eukaryotic large subunit ribosomal RNA (bases 325-430)
Source: RNAcentral
CAUGCGAUACUUGGUGUGAAUUGCAGAAUCUCGUGAACCAUUGAGUCUUUGAACGCAAGUUGUGCCCGAGGCCUUGCGGUCGAGGGCACGCCUGCUUGGGCGUCAUUGCAUCGUCGCCUUUGCUCCUCUCUUUGUUGGUGUCAAGUGCGAAAAUUGGCCUCGUGUGCCCUCGGGCACAGUCGGUUGAAGAGUGGGUAGUCGGCAGUCGUCGGGCGCGAUGGGUGUUGGUCGCCCUGUGCGUGAAUUGAACGUUGUCCCCGUCGUGUUGGGAUGAGUCCUCAAGUGAUUGCGGCGUCGCGUGAAAGUGCCGUGUUCGUCAUAUUGUGGCCCCAAGUCAGGCGAGGCCCACCCGCCGAGUUUAAGCAUAUAAAUAAGCGGAGGAGGAGAAACUUACGAGGAUUCCCCUAGUAACGGCGAGUGAACCGGGAUC